RNAcentral lists this ribosomal RNA (371 nucleotides) under uncultured bacterium. RNAcentral's name for it is "bacterial SSU rRNA". It matches the Rfam family "Bacterial small subunit ribosomal RNA", at positions 527 to 896 of the family's 1533-position model. The record is from RNAcentral.
AGAGGGUGCGAGCGUUAAUCGGAAUUACUGGGCGUAAAGCGCACGUAGGUGGAUAUUUAAGUUGGAAGUGAAAGCCCUGGGCUUAACCUAGGAAUUGCUCCCAAGACUGGAUAUCUAGAAUAUGGUAGAGGGUAGUGGAAUUUCCGGUGUAGCGGUGAAAUGCGUAGAUAUCGGAAGGAACACCAGUGGCGAAAGCGGCUACCUGGACCAAUAUUGACACUUAGGUGCGAAAGCGUGGGGAGCAAACAGGAUUAGAUACCCUGGUAGUCCACGCCGUCAACGAUGACAACUAGCCGUUGGGAGAUUAACUUCUCUUAGUGGCGAAGCUAACGCGUUAAGUUGUCCGCCUGGGGAGUACGGCCGCAAGGUUA